RNAcentral lists this transfer RNA (64 nucleotides) under Heteropterus morpheus. RNAcentral describes it as "tRNA-His". Lineage: Eukaryota; Metazoa; Arthropoda; Insecta; Lepidoptera; Hesperiidae. The record is from RNAcentral.
ACUUAAAUAAUUUAAUAUAAAAUAUUGAUUUGUGGUGUCAAAAAUAUGGGCUACAUUUUAAGUU